UAGGACAGUUUCUUCUAACAUGUUCUCUUAUUUCUAACUAAAUAAGUACAUUCGUAACUAGACUGGUGAAUGACCCAAAUAAUUUUCAUUUUAUCGAUUUUUUUUGUCAUUCAAUAUCUUCUAUUCUUCUCUCUCUUAAUUCAUAAUUCCUUCUGAGUUCUAACAGAUACACAACACCCACAACCACACACAGCCACACCACCACCACUACCAAUGAUGACUCCAGCACCAAAAUCACCAUCGGACCCAAAACCCAGCUUCACCACCGAUCAAAACACCACCGUCACCUGGUCCGUAUCCACAAUAUCCCGGACCACCUCCGCCAUAUCCACCAGCUGCUGUGUGACCCGCGUAACAUUGAAAAGGGGGCGAGUCGAUCCAAUUCGGUUGAUGCAAUUAAACCUUAAAAUUUUCAAAUCUAAUUUAGAUCUGUAAAGUUUCAUUUGAAAUGACUAAAUAGUGAUGAAAACGAAUGAAAAAACUAGAAAAAUGUGGAGGCCGCCAUUUUUGAGUUUGAUAAAUCGCAGAUAGGUUACAGAGAAGGAGGAGAUGACAUAAUUACAAUUCUGCCCCUCACUGAAAAAACAGAAAAAUAAAAAAAAAACAGUUUUUAAGUGAGAUCGAACUCGGGUAUGUUGAUUAAAAACACAUUCACUUACCAACUGAGCCGACAAGUCUUACAGACAAUUAUUGGUUGUUCUAAUAUUCAAACCACC
This 716-nucleotide long non-coding RNA is filed under the name Brassica rapa (field mustard). Its description in RNAcentral is "long non-coding RNA (BRAP_LNC000234)". The record is from RNAcentral. Lineage: Eukaryota; Viridiplantae; Streptophyta; Magnoliopsida; Brassicales; Brassicaceae.